RNAcentral lists this ribosomal RNA (253 nucleotides) under uncultured bacterium. RNAcentral's name for it is "partial 16S ribosomal RNA". It matches the Rfam family "Bacterial small subunit ribosomal RNA", at positions 524 to 776 of the family's 1533-position model. The record is from RNAcentral.
UACGGGGGGUGCGAGCGUUGUCCGGAAUCACUGGGCGUAAAGGGCGCGUAGGUGGUUUGAUAAGGGUGUGGUGAAAGUCCGGGGCUCAACCCCGGAUCUGCCGUGCCGACUGUCAAACUCGAGGGCUGUAGAGGCAGACGGAAUUCCGGGUGUAGCGGUGGAAUGCGUAGAGAUCCGGAGGAAGACCGGUGGCGAAGGCAGAUCUCUGGGCCGUAACUGACGCUGAGGAGCGAAAGCGUGGGGAGCGAACAGG